UACGGAGGAUGCGAGCGUUAUCCGGAUUUAUUGGGUUUAAAGGGUGCGUAGGCGGACUGUCAAGUCAGCGGUAAAAUACGGGGGCUCAACCUCCGCCCGCCGUUGAAACUGACGGUCUUGAGUGGGCGAGAAGUAUGCGGAAUGCGUGGUGUAGCGGUGAAAUGCAUAGAUAUCGCGCAGAACUCCGAUUGCGAAGGCAGCAUGCCGGCUCCACACUGACGCUGAGGCACGAAAGCGUGGGGAGCAAAUAGG
RNAcentral lists this ribosomal RNA (252 nucleotides) under uncultured Bacteroidales bacterium. Its description in RNAcentral is "partial 16S ribosomal RNA". It matches the Rfam family "Bacterial small subunit ribosomal RNA", at positions 524 to 776 of the family's 1533-position model. The record is from RNAcentral. Lineage: Bacteria; Pseudomonadati; Bacteroidota; Bacteroidia; Bacteroidales.